GACGAACGCUGGCGGCGUGCCUAACACAUGCAAGUCGAGCGAGCGGCGGACGGGUGAGUAAUGUAUGGGGACUGCCCGAUAGAGGGGGCUAACUACUGGAAACGGUGGCUAAUACCGCAUACUAUCGGAUAACCCAUAUGGGAUUAGCUAGUAGGUGGGGUAAAGGCUCACCUAGGCGACGAUCCCUAGCUGGUCUGAGAGGCUGAUCAGCCACACUGGGACUGAGACACGGCCCAGACUCCUACGGAGGCAGCAGUGGGGAAUAUUGCACAAUGGACGCAAGCCUGAUGCAGCCAUGCCGCGUGUAUGAAGAAGGCCUUAGGGUUGUAAAGUUCUGUCGGCAGGGAGGCGUUACCCGCAGAAGAAGCAACGGCUAACUCCGUGCCAGCAGCCGCGGUAAUAC
RNAcentral lists this ribosomal RNA (403 nucleotides) under uncultured bacterium. RNAcentral describes it as "partial 16S ribosomal RNA". It matches the Rfam family "Bacterial small subunit ribosomal RNA", at positions 28 to 526 of the family's 1533-position model. The record is from RNAcentral.